This 209-nucleotide ribosomal RNA is filed under the name Paramicrothyrium chinense. Its description in RNAcentral is "Paramicrothyrium chinensis partial large subunit ribosomal RNA". The record is from RNAcentral. Lineage: Eukaryota; Fungi; Ascomycota; Dothideomycetes.
AAGCGCCUGUGACCAGACUCGCGCCCGGCGUAUCAUCCGGCGUUCUCGCCGGUGCACUACGCCGGGCUCGGGCCAGCAUCGGUUCUGGUGGGGGGAUAAAGGCGGCGGGGAUGUGGCUCCCCCGGGAGUGUUAUAGCCCGCCGCUCAAUGCCCUCGCCGGGACCGAGGACCGCGCAUUGCAAGGAUGCUGGCGUAAUGGUCACCAGCGA